AGAGUUUGAUCCUGGCUCAGGAUGAACGCUAGCUACAGGCUUAACACAUGCAAGUCGAGGGGAAACGACAUCGAAAGCUUGCUUUUGAUGGGCGUCGACCGGCGCACGGGUGAGUAACGCGUAUCCAACCUGCCCAUCACUUGGGGAUAACCUUGCGAAAGUAAGACUAAUACCCAAUGAUAUCUCUAGAAGGCAUCUGAAAGAGAUUAAAGAUUUAUCGGUGAUGGAUGGGGGAUGGCGUCUGAUUAGCUUGUUGGCGGGGUAACGGCCACCAAGCAACGAUCAGUAGGGGUUCUGGAGAGGAAGGUCCCCCACAUUGGAACUGAGACACGGUCCAAACUCAUACGGGAGGCA
Molecule: ribosomal RNA, 354 nt
Filed under: uncultured bacterium
Lineage: Bacteria
Description: bacterial SSU rRNA
Rfam family: Bacterial small subunit ribosomal RNA
Source: RNAcentral